UGCGCCUGGCGGCCUGCCUUCACAUGCAAUCCAACUCCGGCGGGAAAAAAAAGCUUGCACCUUUCCCCCCCUGUGGGGGGAAAAAAGAGUAAUACAUCGGAACAUGUCCUGUAGUGGGGGUUUUUCCCCCGAAAGCCGGAGGAAUACCGCAUACGAUCCACGGAUGAAAGCGGGGGACCUUCGGGCCUCGCGCUAUAGGGUUGGCCGAUGGCUGAUUAGCUAGUUGGUGGGGUAAAGGCCUACCAAGGCGACGAUCAGUAGCUGGUCUGAGAGGACGACCAGCCACACUGGGACUGAGACACGGCCCAGACUCCUACGGGAGGCAUUUUUUUUUUUAAUUUUGGACAAUGGGCGAAAGCCUGAUCCAGCAAUGCCGCGUGUGUGGGGGGGGCCUUCGGGUUGUAAAGCACUUUUGUCCGGAAAGAAAUCCUUGGCUCUAAUACCGUCGGGGGAUGACGGUACCGGAAGAAUAAGCACCGGCUAACUACGUGCCAGCAGCCGCGGUAAUCGUAGGGUGCAGCGUUAAUCGGAAUUACUGGGCGUAAAGCGUGCGCGGCGGUUUGCUAAGACCGAUGUGGAAUCCCCGGGCUCAACCUGGGAACUGCAUUGGGGAC
RNAcentral lists this ribosomal RNA (614 nucleotides) under Burkholderia cepacia. RNAcentral's name for it is "partial 16S ribosomal RNA". It matches the Rfam family "Bacterial small subunit ribosomal RNA", at positions 32 to 633 of the family's 1533-position model. The record is from RNAcentral. Lineage: Bacteria; Pseudomonadati; Pseudomonadota; Betaproteobacteria; Burkholderiales; Burkholderiaceae.